CAGCAGCCGCGGGAAUACGAAGGGGGCUAGCGUUGUUCGGAUUUACUGGGCGUAAAGGGCGCGUAGGCGGAUUUGUAAGUCAGGGGUGAAAUCCCGAGGCUCAACCUCGGAACUGCCCUUGAUACUGUGGAUCUUGAGUCCGGGAGAGGUGAGUGGAACUGCGAGUGUAGAGGUGAAAUUCGUAGAUAUUCGCAAGAACACCAGUGGCGAAGGCGGCUCACUGGCCCGGAACUGACGCUGAGGCGCGAAAGCGUGGGGAGCAAACAGGAUUAGAUACCCGUGUAGUCCCUGUCUCUUAUAC
RNAcentral lists this ribosomal RNA (301 nucleotides) under uncultured bacterium. RNAcentral describes it as "partial 16S ribosomal RNA". It matches the Rfam family "Bacterial small subunit ribosomal RNA", at positions 509 to 807 of the family's 1533-position model. The record is from RNAcentral.